CGUGUAGGCGGCAGCGCAAGUCGGGCGUGAAAUCCCACGGCUCAACCGUGGAAGUGCACUCGAAACUGCGCAGCUAGAGUCCUGGAGAGGAAGGUGGAAUGCUUGGUGUAGAGGUGAAAUUCGUAGAUAUCAAGCGGAACACCGGUGGCGAAGGCGGUCUUCUGGACAGUGACUGACGCUGAGACGCGAAAGCGUGGGGAGCAAACAGGAUUAGAUACCCUGGUAGUCCACGCCGUAAACGAUGAGUGCUAGGUGUCACGGGCUUUGACCCUCGUGGUGCCGAAGCUAACGCGUUAAGCACUCCGCCUGGGGAGUACGGCCGCAAGGCUAAA
Molecule: ribosomal RNA, 332 nt
Filed under: uncultured Phaselicystis sp.
Lineage: Bacteria; Pseudomonadati; Myxococcota; Polyangiales; Phaselicystidaceae
Description: bacterial SSU rRNA
Rfam family: Bacterial small subunit ribosomal RNA
Source: RNAcentral